AUUCUUUUGUAGUUCAUAAGCAUUAUGAUUGGGUGCUCACACUUUUGUGUGAGAUGUGCCUCCCACAAACCUUAUUAUGACUUUGGCACAUUACCCGUCUGACA
This is a small nucleolar RNA of Myotis lucifugus (little brown bat), 104 nucleotides long. Ensembl annotates it as small nucleolar RNA U13. The record is from Ensembl. NCBI's taxonomy places the organism in Eukaryota, Metazoa, Chordata, Mammalia, Chiroptera, Vespertilionidae.